RNAcentral lists this ribosomal RNA (396 nucleotides) under uncultured bacterium. Its description in RNAcentral is "partial 16S ribosomal RNA". It matches the Rfam family "Bacterial small subunit ribosomal RNA", at positions 360 to 774 of the family's 1533-position model. The record is from RNAcentral.
AAUAUUUCACAAUGUAGGAAACUCUGUUGCAGCGACGCCGCGGGAACGAUGAAGGCUUUCGGGGCGUAAAGUUCUUUCCUAGGGGACGAUAAUGACGGUACCUUAGGAGGAAGCCUCGGCUAAUAACGGGCCAGCAGCCGCGGUAAAACGUAGGGGGCAAGGGUUGUACGGAUUUAUUGGGCGUAAAGGGUUCUCAGGCGGCAUUUUAAGUCAGAUGAGAAAGACUACAGCUCAAAAGUGGUAAGCAUUUGAACAUGAAAGGCUUGAGUUAAGGGGAGGAAAGUGGAAUUCCUAGUGUAGCGGUGAAAUGCGUAGAUAUUAGGAGGAAUACCAGUGGCGAAGGCGACUUUCUGGAAUUAUACUGACGCUGAGGAACGAAAGCGUGGGGAGCAAACA